GUCCCACCACCUCACACAGCCAGACCCACCGGAGUCCAGGUGGCUGUGGACGCAUCUUUGACGCGGUGGAACUGUCAUUGGCUCCAUCCAUCUGUGGCACCAGAAUCUCCCUUCAUCACUCUUCUGAAAUGUGAUUUAGGCUUGUUUCAUGAAGCUAGAACAGGUCUCUUACUGACAGAUGAGGAUCAAUAAUUAAUUCUAUUAUGGUGAUACUUUGGGACAUUAAUGAAAAAAAACUACAGCAAAAAGUCUCAACAGAAGGAA
Molecule: long non-coding RNA, 264 nt
Organism: Thalassophryne amazonica
Lineage: Eukaryota; Metazoa; Chordata; Actinopteri; Batrachoidiformes; Batrachoididae
Exons: 2
Source: RefSeq, a predicted model, not a curated record